Molecule: ribosomal RNA, 465 nt
Filed under: uncultured bacterium
Lineage: Bacteria
Description: bacterial SSU rRNA
Rfam family: Bacterial small subunit ribosomal RNA
Source: RNAcentral
UACGGAAGGCAGCAGUGGGGAAUAUUGGACAAUGGGCGGAAGCCUGAUCCAGCCAUGCCGCGUGUGUGAAGAAGGCCUUUUGGUUGUAAAGCACUUUAAGCGAGGAGGAGGCUACUAGUACUAAUACUACUGGAUAGUGGACGUUACUCGCAGAAUAAGCACCGGCUAACUCUGUGCCAGCAGCCGCGGUAAUACAGAGGGUGCGAGCGUUAAUCGGAUUUUACUGGGCGUAAAGCGUGCGUAGGCGGCUGAUUAAGUCGGAUGUGAAAUCCCUGAGCUUAACUUAGGAAUUGCAUUCGAUACUGGUCAGCUAGAGUAUGGGAGAGGAUGGUAGAAUUCCAGGUGUAGCGGUGAAAUGCGUAGAGAUCUGGAGGAAUACCGAUGGCGAAGGGCAGCCAUCUGGGCCUAAUCUGACGCUGAGUACGGAAAGGCAAUGGGGAGGCAAACAGGGAAUUAAGAAUAACC